This 184-nucleotide ribosomal RNA is filed under the name uncultured bacterium. Its description in RNAcentral is "partial 16S ribosomal RNA". It matches the Rfam family "Bacterial small subunit ribosomal RNA", at positions 1315 to 1500 of the family's 1533-position model. The record is from RNAcentral.
CCUGCAUGAAGCUGGAAUUGCUAGUAAUCGCGGAUCAGCAAGCCGCGGUGAAUACGUUCCCGGGCCUUGUACACACCGCCCGUCACACCAUGAGAGUCGGGAACACCCGAAGUCCGUAGUCUAACCGCAAGGGGGCGCGGCCGAAGGUGGGUCCGGUAAUUGGGUGAAGUCGUAACAAGGUACC